AUUGAAAGCUGGCGGCAGGCUUAACACAUGCAAGUCGAGCGAGCGGCGGACGGGUGAGUAAUGGCUGGGAAACUGCCUGAUGGAGGGGGAUAACUACUGGAAACGGUAGCUAAUACCGCAUACCAUCAGAUGUACCCAGAUGGGAUUAGCUAGUAGGUGGGGGAAUGGCGCACUUAGGCGACGAUCCCUAGCUGGUCUAAGAGGAUUACCAGCAACACUGGAACUGCGUCACGUGCCAGACUCCGACGGGAGGCAGCAGUGGGGACUAUUGCACAAUGGUCGCAAGCCUGAUGCAGCCAUGCCGCGUGUGUGAAGAAGGCCUUCGGGUUGUAAAGCACUUUCAGCGAGGAGGCGUUACUCGCAGAAGAAGCACCGGCUAACUCCGUGCCAGCCGCCGCGGUAAUUC
RNAcentral lists this ribosomal RNA (406 nucleotides) under uncultured bacterium. Its description in RNAcentral is "partial 16S ribosomal RNA". It matches the Rfam family "Bacterial small subunit ribosomal RNA", at positions 30 to 526 of the family's 1533-position model. The record is from RNAcentral.